CGUAGGUGGCAAGCGUUGUCCGGAAUUAUUGGGCGUAAAGCGCGCGCAGGCGGUCCUUUAAGUCUGAUGUGAAAGCCCACGGCUCAACCGUGGAGGGUCAUUGGAAACUGGGGGACUUGAGUACAGAAGAGAAGAGUGGAAUUCCACGUGUAGCGGUGAAAUGCGUAGAGUUGUGGAGGAACACCAGUGGCGAAGGCGACUCUUUGGUCUGUAACUGACGCUGAGGCGCGAAAGCGUGGGGAGCAAACAGGAUUAGAUACCCUGGUAGUCCACGCCGUAAACGAUGAGUGCUAAGUGUUAGAGGGUUUCCGCCCUUUAGUGCUGCAGCAAACGCAUUAAGCACUCCGCCUGGGGAGUACGGCCGCAAGGCUG
RNAcentral lists this ribosomal RNA (372 nucleotides) under uncultured organism. RNAcentral's name for it is "bacterial SSU rRNA". It matches the Rfam family "Bacterial small subunit ribosomal RNA", at positions 526 to 896 of the family's 1533-position model. The record is from RNAcentral.